UGAGCGGCGGACGGGUGAGUAACGCGUGGGUAACCUGCCUCAUACAGGGGGAUAACAGUUGGAAACGGCUGCUAAUACCGCAUAAGCGCACAGUACCGCAUGGUACGGUGUGAAAAACUCCGGUGGUAUGAGAUGGACCCGCGUCUGAUUAGGUAGUUGGUGGGGUAACGGCCUACCAAGCCGACGAUCAGUAGCCGACCUGAGAGGGUGACCGGCCACAUUGGGACUGAGACACGGCCCAA
This 242-nucleotide ribosomal RNA is filed under the name uncultured bacterium. RNAcentral describes it as "partial 16S ribosomal RNA". It matches the Rfam family "Bacterial small subunit ribosomal RNA", at positions 92 to 334 of the family's 1533-position model. The record is from RNAcentral.